GUGCUCGCUUCCACAGCACACAUACUAAAAUUGGACCAACACAAAGAAGAUUAGCAUGCAAAUUCAUGAAGUGUUCCAUAUUUAA
This 85-nucleotide small nuclear RNA is filed under the name Mus spretus (western wild mouse). Lineage: Eukaryota; Metazoa; Chordata; Mammalia; Rodentia; Muridae. The record is from RNAcentral.